GACGAACGCUGGCGGCGUGCUUAACACAUGCAAGUCGAACGGAGUGGCGAACGGGUGAGUAACACGUGGGUGACCUGCCCUGCACUUUGGGAUAAGCCUGGGAAACUGGGUCUAAUACCGGAUAGUGUGGGAUGGGCCCGCGGCCUAUGAGCUUGUUGGUGGGGUAAUGGCCUACCAAGGCGGCGACGGGUAGACGGCCUGAGAGGGUGGACGGCCACAUCGGGACUGAGUCACGGCCCAGACGCCUACGGGGGGCAGCAGUGGGGAGGAUUGCACAAUGGGCGGAAGCCUGAUGCGGCGACUCCGCGUGGGGGAUGUCGGCCUUCGGUUUGUAAACUCCUUUCACCAUCGACGCGGUAGAGGGAGAAGAAGCACCGGCUAACUACGUGCCAGCAGCCGCGGUAAAC
RNAcentral lists this ribosomal RNA (407 nucleotides) under uncultured bacterium. RNAcentral describes it as "partial 16S ribosomal RNA". It matches the Rfam family "Bacterial small subunit ribosomal RNA", at positions 28 to 525 of the family's 1533-position model. The record is from RNAcentral.